Molecule: ribosomal RNA, 497 nt
Filed under: Botrytis cinerea
Lineage: Eukaryota; Fungi; Ascomycota; Leotiomycetes; Helotiales; Sclerotiniaceae
Description: eukaryotic LSU rRNA
Rfam family: 5.8S ribosomal RNA (bases 126-279)
Source: RNAcentral
CACCCUCCCACCCUUGUGUAUUAUUACUUUGUUGCUUUGGCGAGCUGCCUUCGGGCCUUGUAUGCUCGCCAGAGAAUACCAAAACUCUUUUUAUUAAUGUCGUCUGAGUACUAUAUAAUAGUUAAAACUUUCAACAACGGAUCUCUUGGUUCUGGCAUCGAUGAAGAACGCAGCGAAAUGCGAUAAGUAAUGUGAAUUGCAGAAUUCAGUGAAUCAUCGAAUCUUUGAACGCACAUUGCGCCCCUUGGUAUUCCGGGGGGCAUGCCUGUUCGAGCGUCAUUUCAACCCUCAAGCUUAGCUUGGUAUUGAGUCUAUGUCAGUAAUGGCAGGCUCUAAAAUCAGUGGCGGCGCCGCUGGGUCCUGAACGUAGUAAUAUCUCUCGUUACAGGUUCUCGGUGUGCUUCUGCCAAAACCCAAAUUUUUCUAUGGUUGACCUCGGAUCAGGUAGGGAUACCCGCUGAACUUAAGCAUAUCAAAACCGCGGAGAGAAAAAUCAU